Molecule: non-coding RNA, 654 nt
Organism: Caretta caretta (loggerhead turtle)
Lineage: Eukaryota; Metazoa; Chordata; Testudines; Cheloniidae
Source: RefSeq, a predicted model, not a curated record
AAGAACAUCCCCAAAAUAAUUCCUGGAGCAUAUCUCUUACAAAAACAUCCAAUCUUGGUGAAAAAAUGGUCAAUGAUGGCGAAUCCACCAUGACCCUUGCUCUCUACGUUAGCCUUUGAUCAGCCUUUAUGUAAGUUCUAAACUCAAGAUGGGGCUUCAGUCUGAGGACUCUGUGCAGAGAAAGGGGAAACACUGUCAAUACGAAAGGAGUCGAAUCCCCUCAUCCCCCAAAGAAAUCAGUCCUCAAAGGGGCCUCUUUGAAGAAAUCCCAUCUGCAUGAAGGCCUAGAAACCCCCUGCACUGAUUAAGUGUCUUGUGGAACUGGAUCUGUCAUUUGGAUUUGGCAGUCAAUGUGGGGAUCCAGGGGCUGACUGAAAAUCCCAAGAGAUGAACAAAUCUUGACAUUAUGUGGAGGAAGAGAAAACAGCGGGGGUCAACUGGAACAGCGGUUCUCAAGAGUGCCACACCAAAGCAAAUGCUGAAGGAAUCUGAAAGCUGUUAAGGACUGAAAAUAAUUAGAGGCCAGAGAGUAUUUCUAAAAAGUAAUGUGAACUGUAUUCAGCUAAAGAACUUAUUGUGGAAAUCUAAUUAAAGGUUUGCAUUCUUGUGAGUGAAAAAGCCUGGAUAUUUUCCUAAUCUUGUCCAACAUGUUGU